This 488-nucleotide long non-coding RNA is filed under the name Gallus gallus (chicken). RNAcentral's name for it is "lncRNA (ENSGALG00010002976.1)". The record is from RNAcentral. Lineage: Eukaryota; Metazoa; Chordata; Aves; Galliformes; Phasianidae.
GGCAGCUGGAGACCUUUCUGCCCAGGAAGCCCGGGAAGAAGGAGCUCUCCAAGAGCUGUGCAUGGACAUCCUGGGGUCACUGGAUGUCUCUGUGAGAGGGAUGACCAAACUCCUGUGGCCACGGCUGCUGCUGUACGUGGUGCCAGCCCAGUACACCGGCAUGCUGAUCCCAGUCUCCCGCUGUGUCCAAGCGCUGGCUGAGAGAGGGGACCUGAUGGUGCGGGAGGCAGAAGACCUGGAUCCCCAUUUCCUCAGCUCCAUGUUUCAAGGCCCACUGCUGACUCCCCAGACACUGCUGGCACGCCUGUUGGUGGUGGCAGGGAGCCCUUUUGCAGGCAGCGAACUCCAAGCCGCUGCCUUGCUGCUCAUGCUAAACCUCCACAGCAGGAUCCACAGGGCUGUGGGGGCCAUGUGGGCCGCUGAGAUCCCCCUGCUGCUGCAGUGCCUCCAAGGUAAAGCGCUGGUGGGGAGGGAGGGGCAGAGGCAGG